UGGACAUAUUCAGAGACCCUUCCCAAAGA
This 29-nucleotide non-coding RNA is filed under the name Rattus norvegicus (Norway rat). Lineage: Eukaryota; Metazoa; Chordata; Mammalia; Rodentia; Muridae. The record is from RNAcentral.